Molecule: ribosomal RNA, 517 nt
Filed under: uncultured bacterium
Lineage: Bacteria
Description: bacterial SSU rRNA
Rfam family: Bacterial small subunit ribosomal RNA
Source: RNAcentral
GACGAACGCUGGCGGCGUGGAUUAGGCAUGCAAGUCGGACGGUAGAGCUUUAUCGUAAGAUAGAGUUUGAGAGUGGCGAACGGGUGAGUAACACGUAGGAAUCUACCCUUAAGACGGGGACAACCCAGGGAAACUUGGGCUAAUACCGGAUGAGAGUGCGAGAGAUUGCAUUUAAAAGGAUGGCGAAAGUUGUCGCUUAGGGAUGAGCCUGCGGUCUAUUAGUUAGUUGGUGAGGUAAGAGCUCACCAAGGCGAUGAUAGAUAGGCGGCCUUAACGGGUGGUCGCCCACACUGGGAUUGAGAUACGGCCCAGACUCCUACGGGAGGCAGCAGUCGAGAAUAGUCUACAAUGGCCGGAAGGCUGAUAGUGCGACGCCGCGUGAACGAGGGAGCCCUUCGGGGUGUAAACUGCUGUCGUGUAGGGAGAAGGGUACUAAGGUGAACAAUCUUAGUACUUGACGGUACUACAGGAGGAAGCCCAGGCUAACCUCGUGCCAGCAGCCGCGGUAAAGCUAACG